AGAGGAGCGCUGUUUCUGGAGGAGUUAGGGGAAGGAGGCUGCCUGGUAAGCCAGGAAAGGGGCUUCUGGCCGUUCUGUUGGAGCGCCUCUGACUGACUUCCCCCAUGUGUCCGUGUGGCCACACCGUGCUACUUUCAGAGGCAGUGGGCUUUUCGCUAAGGGAUAAAAAGAAGUAAAACCUUGCCUUUAGCGCAGCUCUCCUUCACUGGGCAGAUUGCUCUCCCUCCCCACUCUCCCAGGCCCAAAUUGGAUCUCAGCGCCUGGGAGCUCCAACUUUAGCAAGUGCGAAAUCCUGUCUUCGGUUUUGGAAUUUUCAUCCGCACAGACUAUAUCAGCCACGGAUAGGAUAUGUGAGAAUACCAGCAUGUCAAGGCUGGGAAUCAUCCUUAGGCAUCACCUAGCCAGUCCUGCCUCUCAUUUUAAGGUAAGAAUAGGCAUUUAACAUUGUAAGAUGAUGUAGUGGGUUCUGUUGGCAUCACUUAGAUGCCCAGGAAAUGUGUAUUCUUCCAUCGAUUUCUCGAUUGUUCACUGUUUGGCUGCGUUAGUCCACGGAGAAUUGUCCUGGCCAACAGGCACCCCUCUUCACUUGGGAAGGUUUAUUUCCCUCUUCCAUCCCUCCUCAGCCCCUCAGCUUAUAGCCUGUAGCCAUUGACUGGUUGGUAAGGGGGUACAAAAUGUCAGCCCCCUUGCUCCUAGAUGGAACCAACUCUGUGGUACGAUUGAAGCUCCCUGUGAGAUCUGGCUGAGGCUUCUGCUGAGACCACAUUCGUGCUCAGCUUGCUUCCUCUGCCCUAUCUGCUGGCUGCCCCAUUCCCUUUUUCCCUGAGAGUAAUAAUCCCUCAAAGAAUUUCUGAGACAAGAAUCCCCGUCUCAGGCUCUGCUUUUAGGGAAUCUGACUUAAGACGGAAAACUUGCUGAAUAAAUUAAUGAAGACCCAGGAUUUUUCUCUGGAGAAUGAAAACUGACAGUACAUUUGCUUCAGCUUUGGUCACCUGUACCUACAUUAAGGAGAUGCAGAGUGUUCAUAUGAGGAGAGACUUUCCCUUGUCUCCGUCAUCUGUGAUUUCACUUCCCUGACAGAAGACGAAGCUUCCAUCUCAGAUGUUUUCUUAAAUGAUGAAACAGCAUACGCCUCUGUUCUUGUCAGCUCAGGGAAAACAGAUCUGGGGACCUCUUCAUCUCUGCGUUGGGAAGCAUAGGUGGUAUAAUCCCCUCCUGUCACGUCCAACGUUGCAUAGUCAGAAGCUUCGCCCUUGUAGUUGGUGCACACAGCACGGU
RNAcentral lists this long non-coding RNA (1278 nucleotides) under Homo sapiens (human). Its description in RNAcentral is "HSALNT0307576". Lineage: Eukaryota; Metazoa; Chordata; Mammalia; Primates; Hominidae. The record is from RNAcentral.